GGACGAACGCUGGCGGCGUGCUUAACACAUGCAAGUUGAACGGUAUGACAUGGAAGCUUGCUGAAGUGUCAUAUAGUAGCGGACGGGUGAGUAAUGCAUGAGAAGCUGCCAUUGGGAGGGGGACAACAGUUGGAAACGGCUGCUAAUACCCCGUAUGCCGGAAGGUGAAAGGGAGUAAUCCGCCCGAUGAGGUGCUCAUGUCCUAUCAGCUGGUUGGUGGGGUGAAGGCCUACCAAGGCGAUGACGGGUAGCCGACCUGAGAGGGUGGCCGGCCACACUGGAACUGAGAUACGGUCCAGACUCCUACGGGAGGCAGCAGUGGGGAAUAUUGGGCAAUGGGCGAAAGCCUGACCCAGCGACGCCGCGUGGGGGAAGAAGUCUUUCGGGAUGUAAACCCUUGUUGUACGGGACGAAACGAAUGACGGUACCGUACGAGGAAGCCCCGGCAAACUACGUGCCAGCAGCCGCGGUAAUACGUAGGGGGCGAGCGUUGUCCGGAAUCACUGGGCGUAAAGCGCACGUAGGCGGGCUGUUAAGUCGGCCGUGAAAGGCACUGGCUCAACCGGUGUUUGUCGGUCGAUACUGGCAGUCUGGAGUAUGGGAGAGGGAACUGGAAUUCCCGGUGUAACGGUGAAAUGCGUAGAUAUCGGGAGGAACACCAGUGGCGAAGGCGGGUUCCUGGCCCAUGACUGACGCUGAGGUGCGAAAGCCGGGGGAGCGAACGGGAUUAGAUACCCCGGUAGUCCCGGCUGUAAACGAUGGAUGCUAGGUGUGGGGGGGUUCCCCUCUGUGCCGCAGCUAACGCGAUAAGCAUCCCGCCUGGGGAGUACGAUCGCAAGAUUAAACUCGAAAGGAAUUGACGGGGGCCCGCACAAGCGGUGGAGCACGUGGUUUAAUUCGAUGCAAA
This 907-nucleotide ribosomal RNA is filed under the name uncultured bacterium. RNAcentral's name for it is "bacterial SSU rRNA". It matches the Rfam family "Bacterial small subunit ribosomal RNA", at positions 27 to 960 of the family's 1533-position model. The record is from RNAcentral.